AAAGGGCCUCUGGGAAUCAUCUCAUUUGAUCAGAAAUUUCCCACCUUGGACAGCCUCUGACAGGCCUCUCUGGCACAGUCUCACCCUUGUUAGCCUAGAGCCACGUUUUUUAUACCUGGGGGAUUUCUAUCCUGGCUGCAGCUGUCUCCCCACUUUGCUGUUACAAAAACCACUGGCAACAGAGAGCAGGGGCCUCUGCUCUUGGCCUCUGAUUUCCCCAAAUGCUUGCCCUCUGCCUGCUGUUCCUGGCCUCUCGCUGCCUGGUCUACCCUGCUCUGUUCCUCAUCAACCUCCAUUUCAAAGAGCCCACUGACAGGUCACACAGAACUGAGCCGACGGCCAGUGCAGCCGAGGCCCGGCAGGGGGUGGCAGCCUGGUGCCAGACAGUGACCUGCUGGGGCCCUCAGAAAGAAAAGGGGCUGUCACCACCGACACCUCAGAGCAACAAGGAGGAUUAUGAGGCUUGCAUACCUACUGCACCAACCCAUACGAAGUCAAUGAACAGGAUGAGGCCAAGUCAAUAAUACAGAUGAAGAGCAGUACAACCAUGUCUUCAUGCCUUACUGAAAAGCAAAGAUGUAUUUUAUAUCUGGAUUUUCUUUGCACUGAUAAAACGAUAUCAGC
This 624-nucleotide long non-coding RNA is filed under the name Homo sapiens (human). RNAcentral describes it as "HSALNT0097397". The record is from RNAcentral. Lineage: Eukaryota; Metazoa; Chordata; Mammalia; Primates; Hominidae.